RNAcentral lists this long non-coding RNA (9786 nucleotides) under Lathyrus oleraceus (garden pea). RNAcentral describes it as "Pisum sativum (pea) long non-coding RNA (PSAT_LNC040668)". The record is from RNAcentral. Lineage: Eukaryota; Viridiplantae; Streptophyta; Magnoliopsida; Fabales; Fabaceae.
UGACACCGUCUUCAAUAUAAACAUCGGCGAUUUGUUGAUGGUGAGCAUUAACCACAGUACCGCCUUUGAUCAACAACUUGGAUGAUGAUGGAAUUGAAGGUCCACAGGAAGAAUCUCCGUACCCGAUUCCAGCUUCACAAAACUGAAUUUCAAAAUCCAAAUUCAAAACUCGAUGAUAAGAGGUGUAGAUAUGGGUCGGUGUCGGACACCAUUAGAUAUUUGCAUUCUAUUUCUAGUUACUCCUGGAAAAUGCAAACAAGUGUAGUUAAUUGUUUUCUGUUAAUAAAAUAAACAAAGCUUAGGAGAUUGAACUAAAUCAGAUUGUUAUAUUAGAAUUUAGAUUCACAUCAUUCAUUGAUUAAUACAACAGCUUCCAACAAUUAAAAUACAAACCCUAUUCAAAAUCAAACAAUGGAAGAAAUAAUCUAAAGCCAAACUCAUAAAUAAUCAAACGAUCAUUCAUGAAGGAAUAAUUGAAAUAGAAACAAUAUCAAAACAUCAACAUUAGCAUGUAUGCAUUCUAUAGAACAUAAACAGACACAUGAAAGAUACAUGCGGAACAAACAAUUUAACAGUAAGUGCAACGACAUAAUAGGUAUUAACUCUAUUAUUUUAAUAUUCACCAAACUCUUCCAAGUUAUCCUCCUACAAAAUCCACAAAACAUUAUCAAUGUAAGCAUUGAAAAGUAAAUAGCUCACUACAAGAAAGCCAACAAAAAGUCCUUAAGACGAGUGAAAAAAUGUUCAAAUCAAAAAAAGGCUUCACAUUUUUAGAAAAAUUGUACAUAUUAAUUCAAAAAAUGAAAUAAACGAAUGAACCUGAAUAAUAUGUUGAGCACAAACAAAUCAAACCAAAUCAAAAGAGGCAAACAGAAGAACAUCAUCUCUGAUGACCUCAAGAUUGUUUUUGAUCUAUUUAUGAAAUAUUCAUAGCAAGGGUGUGGUACCUACAAUGUCUCCGACGAUCAUGUUAAUAAUGGAUUCAAAAUAAUGUUGGGAAAUAAAACAAAACCAUCAAAUAGUUCAUCAAUCUAUAACAAAUAAAGAUAGCAAUGAGUUAACAAGCACUUGGUCAAGCAUCCUUAUCCCCAAAGCAGCUUUAGUACAGUGAUGACAUGUCACAGUAAAGUGAGCAAAUCAUGAAACCUUGGUAGGACUAACCACUCUCUGUCAAGAAAAAUCUAAUACGGUUUGGUGUUGGGACUCCAGAAUUACAUUUCAAAAUGAAAACAAUACCACUGACACCCGUAUAAUCAAAGAAAGUGUCAGAAAUAGCUCAAAAUAAACUGCAGAACUCAACCACUCACUGUAUUCGGAAAGUAGCAUUUCGCCACAAUAUUUGUGCAGUAUUUAUAACAAAACAAUCACCUUGUGUAUAUAUAUAGUGAAAACAAAAUGAAAAGAGGCAAACAGAAGAACAUUACCUCAUAAGGACCUCAAAACUGAUUUUAAUCUAUUCAUGACACGUGCAUAGCAAGACUGUGGUAUCUGCCUGCAAAGACUCUGACAAUAUAGUAAGACUUGUGACAUGAAAAGACACUAAGAGUAACGUUUUAGAGUAAAGAAAUUAGCCAGACAUGAUGGAAUUCUAAGCAUAAAAGAGUGACAAUAACCUUUAUGGCAAGUUUGUGAAAAAGGAGAAAGAACAACAUACUUAAUAUCUUUAUAUUUCAAGUUACUUUGUAUGAAUGCAAUGUAUAGGACCUAAACUGCAACGUGAUUAUCGUAUGUAAGAAAUGAGUGGGAUAAAUAAUUUGAUUGUUAGAUCACACAGUAAGUGCAAAAAGACAGAUACAUUACCUGAAGAAGGAGUUUCAUCCUACUCAUCAUGACACAAGCAUAGAUUCAAAAUAACAUUAAAAUCAAUUUGAAAUGAAUAAAAAGUUGUUAGUUACUAUCUAAAUGACAUCAAGAUUGCGAUUUUCCUCGUUCUUUCAGCAUCAAUGGCUUCUUGGGUGUUGUUAAUGAGACGAAACAGUUCUAACCGCAUCUCACCAAGCUCAAUCAUUUCAUUCAUUAACGGUAAGCGUGUUUGCUGCAGUGGUGAGGGAGUAUGAUGAGGUGACGAUAGUGUGAUCAUGUGAGGAAUCUCAUCAUCUAAGAACUUUAUCUUUUGUUUCUUAAUCAGCAUUAAAAUAGAUGAAGAAUAACUCACAAUUUCCAUUGUUUGCGUCAUCUUCGAUUAACCGAAUCACUAGGGUUGAGGCAGGACUCCACACUUCAAACUCAGCCUGACCCAGGAACCAGUUGUCACCCAACAUUUUCACCCUUUGCCCAUUUCCAAUGUUCCAGCAGGCCCUCGAGUCAAUGACACUCAUCCACUCGUAGUUGGGUUGAAGAACGGAUGGUGCUUCCAAUAGGGUAGACCGCAGGCUGCUUCUGUUUUUGAACACUCUAGCAGCUUGUUGAGCAUGAUUUAAGGCGUCCCUGCAUCACUUUCUAAAUCUCAUGGAACCGAUCACAGAUUACCAUAAAAUCAGCAAAAAUGACCUGAACAAGUGAGUAAGGCAGCUAAAUUUAAUAUGGAAGAAAUACUGAAAUUAGACAAAGAACAAGUUCAUUUAAUCAUUGCAUUGAAGAAAACUUAAGGGUAAGUCCGAAAAAAACCUAUCCCUGCAAAAUGGUGCAUCAUGGGAUGCCUUAAAUUGCUAGAAAUAGUAGGAUCAACACAAUCUAAUACAAUGAAAAUGUCACAUACGCUUGCUCCCUGGGCGGGGCCAGUAACAAAAUUCAUAAUGUCAGUAUUAUCCUUUGCAUCUGAAAGAUAUGUGUGAGACAAACAAUUUAACAGUUAUAUCACAGUAAGUGCAAUGACCUCUUCCAAGUUUUCCUCCUACAAAAUCCACAACACAUUAUCAAUGUAAGCAUUGAAAAGUAAAUAAGCUCACUACAAGAAAGCCAACAAAAAGUCAUUAAGACGAGUGAGAAAAUGUUCAAAUCAAAAAAAGGCUUCACAUUUUUAUAAAAAUUGUACAUAUUAAUUCAAAAAAUGAUAUGAAAGAAUGAACCUGAAUAAUAUGUUGAGCACAAACAAAUCAAACCAAAUCAAAAGAGGCAAACAGAAGAACAUCAUCUCUGAUGACCUCAAGACUGUUUUUGAUCUAUUUAUGAAAUAUUCAUAGCAAGGGUGUGGUACCUACAAUGUCUCCGACGAUCAUGUUAAUAAUGGAUUCAAAAUAAUGUUGGGAAAUAAAACAAAACCAUCAAAUAGUUCAUCAAUCUAUAACAAAUAAAGAUAGCAAUGAGUUAACAAGCACUUGGUCAAGCAUCCUUAUCCCCAAAGCAGCUUUAGUACAGUGAUGACAUGUCACAGUAAAGUGAGCAAAUCAUGAAACCUUGGUAGGACUAACCACUCUCUGUCAAGAAAAAUCUAAUACGGUUUGGUGUUGGGACUCCAGAAUUACAUUUCAAAAUGAAAACAAUACCACUGACACCCGUAUAAUCAAAGAAAGUGUCAGAAAUAGCUCAAAAUAAACUGCAGAACUCAACCACUCACUGUAUUCGGAAAGUAGCAUUUCGCCACAAUAUUUGUGCAGUAUUUAUAACAAAACAAUCACCUUGUGUAUAUAUAUAGUAAAAACAAAAUGAAAAGAGGCAAACAGAAGAACAUUACCUCAUAAGGACCUCAAGACUGAUUUUAAUCUAUUCAUGACACGUGCAUAGCAAGGUUGUGGUACCUGCCUGCAAAGACUCUGACAUGAUUUGCAACAACUUAAUGAAAAAUAAUCGCAGCAACUACAUGAUUAAAUCGGAAGUGAAACAUCGUAAAAGGCACACACAUAAUCAGCAGUAUAUCGGCACAUUAUCAAUGUCGAAAUCACGGAUUGAAUAUGAUUUAGCAAUGCAAACAGAAAUUAAACCAGAACAGCAACAGGAGUAUUAUUUACAAGAUUUUACGAGUCCAUUCUGAUGCAGGAACAACAGCAUAUAUACUAUACCAUAUUUACAAUGUAUUACCAGAACAGCAACAUAUAUUGUGCCUUAUUAAACCAGAACAGCAACAUACAUAUUAUACUGAUACAUAUAUUAUGCCAUGAAAAAAAACAAAACCAUUUGUUUACCAAACUUAAGCUAGGAUAAAUAACGUUCAAGAACGAACGUACAACAGUGGUAAACACCAACAUUAAUUUACAAGUCUACAAAGCUGUAAUUGAAACAGUCACGCAAACGAAUACGCAAUCCAAAUUUACAAGUCAAUAGAUGCAUAAUCGCAGCAACUACAUGUUGUCAUGCUUGGUUAACAAACCUAAGGUCUCCUUUAGUCCAAUCUUAACCAAUAAUGAACCAAAGAAAUUCUAUGGGGAACAUGUUAUCCACACAAGUAAAAGAGCUAAAGAAGAAGACAAAUCCAUAUCAAGUCAUGGUGAAAGUAGGAACAAAUUCACAAAGUAAGACACAUCAGGUCAUGAUAAGAGAAAAGUAAUUAGCCAUCCAUAUAAUGUCAUAGGUAAAGAAAUGAUAAUAUAAAGGCAAAGCAGUCCAUAUCAAGUCAUGGAAGAAUAGAUAAGAGAUAACAAAGUAAUCCAUAUCAAGUCAUGGAAGAACAUAUAGAAGGUAGACACAAUAAUCCAUAUCAUGUCAUGGAAAAAAGAUGGAAACUAAACAAAACAUAUCAAGUCAUGACAGGAUAGAUGAAAUAUAAAUAAAGUGAUCCAUAGCAAGUCAUGGAAGAAGAAUGAAAGCAAAUAACAAGUUAUCAAAUCAAAAUGAGCAACAACAUCACACCCAAAUUAAGCAUCAAAGCAUAUGAUCAACAUGUAAAUUUGUAAAGUGAAAUGAACACAAGUGUGGACAGUUUAGACAUAUCCAAUGAUAUGGUAGAUGAAUGAGAUCAAAAACAUGGAAUUAAUAAGGAAAACCAAAAUAUCACAAAGGCAUCAUAUCAAAGCAUUCUCAAGGGUUGACAUAGGUAAUAAUCAAAUUCAAACCCUAGCCAUGCUUCUAAGGCUAAUGGACUCCUAUCAAGUAGAGAUGCAAUAGAAUCUAGAAAAAUGGUAUCAAACCAAACAAAUCAGAACUAUAUGGCAAAUUGAACUUCACAUACAAGUCAAUUAAAGCAUCAUGGAUGAAUCACAUAAGCUAUGCUUCAAACACAGAAUUUAUAUUUGAGGCAUGUCUCCCCACUUCAAACACAGCCUGACACCCAAAGUUUUCAGCCUCUGCCCAUUUCCAAUGUUUCAGAAGGCCCCCCAUGUCAAUGAAUCUCAUUCACUCAGCUCGGUUGAAGACCGGACUGUUAAGCAUGGCCAGCAGCUCAAAUCAAAGGUAAACUUCCUACCAUGCUUUUAAGAUGUUGCAUUUCCUUUCUGUUUCAUCAUACUCAUGAGCAUAGCAUGACACACCAAACCAAAGGUGUGGUACCUGCAAAAACUCCGACGAUCAAGUUAGUUAUGAAUUCAAAUAAUUUUGGUAAAUAAAAGAACAUACUAAUCACAAGCAGAUCAUAACAACUUCACAAUUGCACAAUCAAAUAAUAAUAAUUGAGAAAGAUUGUCCAUAAAACCAUAACAAGGAUAUAUUAAGUCAACCGUGCAAUUUUUCUUAUAGACGACACAAGAAGAAGAUGGCUAAUUUUAAAUGAACUGUAGCCAUGCUGUAACUUCAUUGAAGAAAAACCACUAAAGCAAAUUUGUACAAAUUAGAAAAUAUGAUUUUGGAAGUCAUACAAAAUGGAAUCAUAUUUAGUAACCGUAAAGUUCCUCAACAAAUUCAUAUGGUCCAGUAUGAAAUUAUCAAUAACUCACUUAAGUACCGAGAGUUUGUGCAAUUACUACCUCUACAGCUCCGCCAAUAUAGAAAUAUAAUAAUAUAUCUCCAUAAAUUAUGUAUAUUAGAAUGUAGAUUAAAGCUCCUAAAUGCUAAGACAAAACUAGACCAUAUCAUUAUAUAGAGAGAUAUAAACUUGGCUUGGUGGUUUGAGGAUGGAGUGAGAGAGUUGAGGUUGAUGGUUCUAUUCAUACCCACACCAUAAUAAAACUAACAUAUUAACAUUUGUUAAUAGAAAAAACAACAUCUUCAAAUGCAUAGAAUGUGUUUCCUACGAUAAACGUUACCAUCAUGACUUGAAUUAAAAACAAUUUGCAUUGGAAAUUACUGGCAUUCGACCUAAAUAAUUUUAAAAAAUGACAAAACUUUCCAUCUACCAGAAUCACAAACGUAUGUGAUUUAAUCUAAUGAAGUGCAUGAAACUUAAUACGAGAAAGAGCUGGGAUGCAGACUGGAUUAUGCUUCCAAAUCAAAGGUGACCUGCAUCACUUUCUAUAUCUCAUGGAACCGAUCACAGACUACCAUAAAAUCAACAAAAAUGACCUGAACAAGUGAGUAAGGCAGCUAAAUUUAAUAUGGAAGAAAUACUGAAAUUAGACAAAGAACAAGUUCAUUUAAUCAUUGCAUUGAAGAAAACUUAAGGGUAAGUCCGAAAAAAACCUAUCCCUGCAAAAUGGUGCAUCAUGGGAUGCCUUAAAUUGCUAGAAAUAGUAGGAUCAACACAAUCUAAUACAAUGAAAAUGUCACAUACGCUUGCUCCCUGGGCGGGGCCUAUAACAAAAUUCAUAAUGUCAGUAUUAUCCUUUGCAUCUGAAAGAUAUGUGUGAGACAAACAAUUUAACAGUUAUAUCACAGUAAGUGCAAUGACCUCUUCCAAGUUUUCCUCCUACAAAAUCCACAACACAUUAUCAAUGUAAGCAUUGAAAAGUAAAUAAGCUCACUACAAGAAAGCCAACAAAAAUUCAUUAAGACGAGUGAGAAAAUGUUCAAAUCAAAAAAAGGCUUCACAUUUUUAUAAAAAUUGUACAUAUUAAUUCAAAAAAAGAAAGUGUCAGAAACAAUCCAAUAUUUAUUAUAGAUUUGUGCAGUAUUGACUAUUUGUAACAAAACAAUCACUUAGCAUACAUUCUAAAAACCAAAUGAAAAGAGGCCAUAGAAGAACAUUACCAGUAAUGACCACAAGACUCAUUUUUUGAUCUAUUCAUGACAAGAGCGUACAUACCUUCCUACAAAGACUCGGACGAACAAGUUAGUUAUCAUUUUAAAAUAAUUUUGGGAAAUAAAAAGAGUAACAUUUUAGAGUAAACAAAAAGACGGAAUUAUAAAAACGCAUGAUGUUAUAAGCAUAAAAGAGUGGCAUUCACCUUUAUGGGAAGUCUUUUGAAAGAGGAAAAAGAACAAGAUACAAUUAGAAAGUCCUACUAAACCAAACAUCCUAUUUCUAGUUUCCUUUGGAAGAUACCAACAAGUUAAAGUAACUUACUUUCUAUGAAUGCAUUAUCUAUAUUGUGAGAACCAAAUCAAAAACGGAAAUCACGAUUUCAAACAAAAUUCAAAGUUUACACUUUACUUGUACAAAUUACAAAAGGGCAAUAAUUGUUUUAUAUAUUACUGUCAAAUAAACUUUUUUGAAUAAUAUGUUGGGUCCAUAUACAUGAAAUUCUGGUUUUCAAAAAGGGGUGGCUGUGAAGUAAGUCGACUAACUGUGAAGUAAGUCGACUAAGUGUGAUUGUCAGAGAUGUAAAGGGGUGGCUGAAAAAUGAGGAGAAAAUAUCAUUAUGACGUAGUAAAAUAGUCUAGAGUACUAGACGAUGAAAUGAAACCAGACAUGAUCAGUAUCUGUAUUCCAUUAUUCUCUUCAAUUCUAUUAUUCAGUAAACUAUUUAUUAAAAAGAGCAAAAAUGAGACUAACCACUGGAGGCCUUGAAAGAGCAUGUCCCUCGGGUCCAGUUAUUCCAAGCUCUAUCAUCUUCUUUUGCCCUUCAUCCACAGCAUCUCCGUUUUCUGCAUGGACCAUGGCUAAGGCACCGAGAGACUUGCACUUUUUAAGUCCUUGUAGAAGAAGCUCAUCACCGAUCAUAAGAGCUCCUUUGUAAGCCAUGAAAAACUUAAAAGAAUUGAUACCUACAAUCAGAAAACAAAGAUGUACUUACUACGUGAAAUAAAUUCCUCAGAGCCCUUCCACAGGGUUAUUGCCUCAUAAUAAACCAAAUUAUCUAAAAUGCAAAAAGGAAGUAAAAUUAUAACCUUUCUCCUUGACCAUGAGCUCCAUUUCUCUUGCAACUGUUUCAUCCCAUUUGGUAAUAGCCAUAUGGAAACCAUAAUCCAUGCAAGACUUCUUCGCCUUCUUUUCAUAGGCUUUGAAACCGGCCGUUAAACUCCCAUCAAUUGGUAUGGCAAAGUCAAUGUGCAUUGUCGUCCCACCAGCCAAUGCUGCGGCCUGGCCACUGAAGAAGUCAUCCUUCGUUACAGUGUUCAUAAACUCAAACUCUAGAUGAGUAUGAGGAUCAAUGCCUCCUGUUAGUAAACAAAAAGAUGCAAUCAUAUGGUAUGUCAAAAUCUGAUGAUGAUGAUGUCAAAUUGACAUCAAGAUGAAAUGUAAGAAACUAAAUUCAUGCAUACAAGUGACAUCGUUACGGUGAUUCGUUUAAGAAGCAUUUAACUAUUGUAUAGGUGUUAGAGCAUCAACAACAAUAGAACCCAUCUUAGGUUGACUAAGUGGACUCAACUAUGCCACAACACUUUUAAUUAAGUAAAUCACUCACUUUUCACACCAAUGAUGUAGUUCUUAAAGAACUUCAAUUGGUCCCACAUUGGUCUGCAUAAGAGGGACAUAGCGCUCCUUUGAAUUUCACACAAACUCUUCACUAUUCUUAAUUAUUGCUAAGAAUGGAUUGCUUUUAUAACAAUACAUUUUCACCCUAGAUAUGAAGUGGAACACUCCGAUGGUAAAACCUCAGAGAACAAAUAAGAGCCUACGAAAUACCAAUUCAAACACAAACAACAAACAUGAUAUCAACCCUGACACGUAGGCAUCAACAAUAAUACGUUGAAAUGGAAGUGAUCAUUGAUCGUAUGUAUCCACACGUGUCAGUGUCAGUGUCAUAUAAAUGUUAGUCACCGAGACACACCUUCAACCUAAAGUGUCAAAUAUAAGCCAGGUUUUAAAAAAUUGUCGCAACCGCAUAGGUGUAAGUACUACAUAGUUAUAAACCCAGAAAGAAUCAUCAUUGGAAGUGUUGUAAGAUUAAAAAUCAAAGGUCUAACCUGGCAUAACAAACUUGCCAGUAGCAUCUAUGACACGCACCUCAUCUCCAACCUGGCAAUACCGAAAUUACAAAAGUAAAAAAUCCUAGGACAGAAAGCAUAAAGUUGAAUACAAAAUUUGUGAAAACACUUUCUAUUUUCAUUUCUUAAGAAUUGUGUUCAUUUUAACAUGAUAAGUGUCUUGGAGUAAAUAAUUGCAAGUUAAGAAUGAUUCAUUUGAGAAAUAAUACAGUGAUAGUUGGAUUAACAACAACGAUGACACCGUCUUCAAUAUAAACAUCGGCGAUUUGUUGAUGGUGAGCAUUAACCACAGUACCGCCUUUGAUCAACAACUUGGAUGAUGAUGGAAUUGAAGGUCCACAGGAAGAGUCUCCGUACCCGAUUCCAGCUUCACAAAACUGAAUUUCAAAAUCCAAAUUCAAAACUCGAUGAUAAGAGGUGUAGAUAUGGGUCGGUGUCGGACACCAUUAGAUAUUUGCAUUCUAUUUCUAGUUACUCCUGGAAAAUGCAAACAAGUGUAGUUAAUUGUUUUCUGUUAAUAAAAUAAACAAAGCUUAGGAGAUUGAACUAAAUCAGAUUGUUAUAUUAGAAUUUAGAUUCACAUCAUUCAUUGAUUAAUACAACAGCUUCCAACAAUUAAAAUACAAACCCUAUUCAAAAUCAAACAAUGGAAGAAAUAAUCUAAAGCCAAACUCAUAAAUAAUCAAACGAUCAUUCAUGAAGGAAUAAUUGAAAUAGAAACAAUAUCAAAAC